CCUGCUGCCUUGUGAAGAAGAUGCCUGCUUCCCCUUCUGCAUGAUUGCUACCCUCUUUGGGGCCCCUCCCUUUGUAUGGGAGCUCUGUUUUCAGGCUAUUAAAUCUUGCAACUGCACUCUCUUCUGGUCCGUGUUUGUUAUGGUUCGAGCUGAGCUUUUGCUCGAAGUCCACCACUGCCGUUUGCCGCCGUCGCAUACCGCCGCUGACUUCCACCCCUCUGGAUCCGGCAGGGUGUCCGCUGUGCUCCUGAUCCAGCGAUGCGCCCAUUGCCGCUCCCGAUUGGGCUAAAGGCUUGCCAUUGUUCCUGCAUGGCUAAGUGCCUGGGUUCAUCCUAAUCGAGCUGAACACUAGUCACUGGGUUCCACGGUUCUCUUCCGUGACCCACGGCUUCUAAUAGAGCUAUAACACUCACUGCGUGGCCCAAGGUUCCAUUCCUUGUAAUCCGUGAGGCCAAGAACCCAAAAUCAGAGAACCCGAGGCUUGCCACCAUCUUGGAAGUGGCCCACCGCCAUUUUGGAAGCAGCCCGCCACCAUCUUGGGAGCUCUGGGAGCAAGGACCCCCCCGGUAACAUUUUGGCGACCAAGAAGGGACCUCUAAAGCCGUUUCUGCAAGAUCCAGGGAAGAAGAGAAGAUACUACUAUGUGGAAGGGUGAAAAUGUGUCUUGAGUUGGCAGCUCAACAGGAACAUGAGCUUGCCUUAAGUCAUCUGUGUUUCUCCCACUCCUGGCAUUGUACAGUAGUCAGAGACUAAUUACAGUGGUGAUUAUAAAGUUAAUGAAGUUGAAAAAUUCACGGAAAUAAUUAUGUCUGAAUGAAUGGGAUAAAGAAUGUGACAUACAAGACAUAAUGACUAAUUGGACACUGAAAGAGCUGAUUUUGUGGACAUUCCUUCAUGAAAAAGAGUUCAGUGAGAGAAACAACGAAGUAUCAAUCACUUGACCUGAAAUAAUGAUGGGUUUGGCAAACAGGAAAGUAAAACAUAAAGAGGGUUUAGAAGACAACUGGAUAAUAAGCAGAUUCUUUGAGAUGACACAAAGAGCAAACCCUUCAUCAAUGACAUGCAGCUUGUGGAUUUGGAUGACACGGUUCUUUAAAAGAAGC
Molecule: long non-coding RNA, 1103 nt
Filed under: Homo sapiens (human)
Lineage: Eukaryota; Metazoa; Chordata; Mammalia; Primates; Hominidae
Description: LHRI_LNC835.1
Source: RNAcentral